CUUCAACGACCCCAGCCACACCGGUUCCGCGCGACCCUGCCCGUAGGUGGCCAGCACCGCGCGCGCCUC
RNAcentral lists this antisense RNA (69 nucleotides) under Saccharothrix variisporea. Its description in RNAcentral is "Dactylosporangium variesporum ASpks TB sRNA". It matches the Rfam family "ASpks TB sRNA". The record is from Rfam by way of RNAcentral. Lineage: Bacteria; Bacillati; Actinomycetota; Actinomycetes; Pseudonocardiales; Pseudonocardiaceae.